AACAACGGAUCUCUUGGUUUCUGGCAUCGAUGGAAGAACGCAGCGAAAUGCGAUAAGUAAUGUGAAUUGCAGAAUUCAGUGAAUCAUCGAAUCUUUGAACGCACAUUGCGCCCUGUGGUAUUCCGCAGGGCAUGCCUGUUCGAG
RNAcentral lists this ribosomal RNA (144 nucleotides) under ascomycete sp. HK-S145. RNAcentral describes it as "partial 5.8S ribosomal RNA". It matches the Rfam family "5.8S ribosomal RNA". From Rfam's summary of the family: 5.8S ribosomal RNA (5.8S rRNA) is a component of the large subunit of the eukaryotic ribosome. It is transcribed by RNA polymerase I as part of the 45S precursor that also contains 18S and 28S rRNA. Lineage: Eukaryota; Fungi; Ascomycota. The record is from RNAcentral.